Echinops telfairi (small Madagascar hedgehog) is the source of this 366-nucleotide long non-coding RNA. RefSeq lists it as uncharacterized. The record is from RefSeq and is a predicted model, not a curated record. The transcript has 3 exons. Lineage: Eukaryota; Metazoa; Chordata; Mammalia; Afrosoricida; Tenrecidae.
GGAAGAUGGGAGAAGCAAUAUUGACUCAUAUGGCUCUUCUACCAUCCUGAUCCAAGAAAGAAAUUUGACUGAAAGCUGAUGAACAAAUAUGCGCACUUUUUUCACAAGCCUCUGGAAAGUCACCACCAGAAAGCCCUUCUUCACAGCAUCAAAUGGCACUUCAGGGCGAGACCUGCUGCGGAAACCUGGGUGAUUAGCGCAGAGAGAGCAGGUCUACGUUGAUAAAACUACGAGCAGAUAACCAUGGGUGACCAGCCAUCUGAGGGGCGUCAGACGUGUAGGCAAAGCAGCAGCAAGAAGAACAAGCUGAGCCGAGAAAGCAGAGGGCAGAGCGUGAAUGCAGUCCCCCACUACCACAAAUCAUGC